CUGCCCCCAAAGGGCCUCGUAGAGGGAAAAGAAAAACGGAAGCCAAAAAAGAGAAAUCCUCGCCGCCGUCCCUCACGGCGACGGUCACCGCGACCCCGACCCCGACGACGACGACGGCGCCCACCAUGUCAUCGUGCGCCCCCGUCCCCACGCUGCAGCCCGACGAGCGGGCCGACCUCCUCUCCCUGCUCGCCGGCGCGGCCCGCCCGCUCGCGGACGUCGUCUCCGACUUCCUUGCGCGGUUCCCCCGCGAGCGCCGCCUCCGCGUCGGCGGGGCGCUCUGCUUCCUCCUCGAGGACAAGAAGAUGCUCCAUCCUACUGGUCGUUUAAUUGCAUUUGCAAUUCUUCAUCAGAGCUAUUCCCCACAGACAGCGAAUCCAUACAUUCCUAUGUUGUUAGAUGGAGCCUGCGAUGAAACAUCGGAUAAAUCAGAACGGGCAUUUGUCCAACUAUUAUUGACUUCAUCCAGUGGAAACAAUAAUAAUGAGGUCCUGAAUCAGUCAGCUGUAGAUUACAUAAAUGGGUCUGUUUCCGCAUCUCAGGUCUUGUUGCCACGGGAACAACUUGAGAAGCAAUAUUGUAGUAACGGUGUACAAUCUCAGCCUCAGAUUAGUAGUUUCAGACCUGCUGCUGUUAGAAGUGUUAUACCAGAUCCAGAUGUGCCUCAAAGUUGUGCAAAUUCAUCGGAGUCUGCGAUAUCAUUACCUGGAAGCAAACAGAAAUCUUCUUCUGAUGAUAGAGAUUCUGCUCUUGCUGGUUUACUCCAAGAAAAAUCGGGGGGAAGGUUGGGUCCUCAGUGGAUUCGGCCAACACCCCCAAGACUUCCUGUACUAGAUGGGGAGCUACAGUGGCUGAACCCUGACAAUAACCAUGAGUUAUUAUGGGAUUAUAGCAUGUGUGCUGAUACGAGUCGAGGGGCUGCUAUCCGAGAUUUGAUUGCAAGAGCCUUAAAAGGUCCACUUGCACCUGCCCAACAGGAGGUUCACUGCUACAUUCUAAUAUUUAACAAUGGGUGUUUUACUAAAUUCUUAUUGCAGCGAUUCAUAAUAGAACUGGCAAAUGAUCCUAAACUGGUUUAUUACUGCGGGAUGACUCCACAGAAGCUUCCUGAUCUUGUUGAACACAAUCCUCUCAUUGCUGUUGAGGUUCUUUCGAAGUUAAUUAACUCUCCUGACAUUUCAGGUUACUUUGCUGGUCUUGUGCAUAUGGACAUGAGCCUGCAUUCUAUGGAAGUUGUGAAUAGGCUUACUACUGCUGUUGAUCUUCCAACGGAGUUUGUCCACGAGUACAUCACAAAUUGUAUCCAAUCAUGUCAAAACAUUAAGGAUAAGUACAUGCAAAACAGACUGGUGAGACUAGUUUGUGUUUUCCUGCAGAGCCUUAUCCGAAACAAGAUUAUAAACGGCGAGUAUAUAUAUUCUUCACUUGUAUGCUUGACAAAAUCAUGUUUUUGAUCUGCGUACUGUUGCUGAAGUGCUGCAAUUUCAGCAUUCUUGAUCCAAGAUAAUAGCUGUCCAACAUUACAAGUUUUGUAUCCCUGCUUUCUACCUCGUGUGCAGUAUUUCUAUCGACACCUUUACUUUAGUUCUUUACAACUGGGUAUGCUAUUUUUUGUGUGCGCACUAUUGUAUGCUAGUUACUUAUCUUGCCUUUCAUUCCCCGCAGCAUUUUGAAAAUGCAAAUGUUCUUAAACUACUUGUUGGCCUACACGUUCAAGAUCUUUUCAUUGAGGUACAAGCAUUCUGUAUUGAAUUUUCACGGAUAAGGGAAGCAGCUGGUUUAUUCCGGUUACUCAAAUCUUUGGAGUGAAGGAAUUAUAGACUGGUUGUAUCAACAACGAAUGUUUGAACUUUUCUUGUUCUGGAUAGUUCUCUGGCCACUCUGGGUGUUCAAGAUCACUUGGUACAUUAAGCGCAUCAUUUUCUUGUGGAAUGCGUGGCACCCUUACUAAUUACCAAGCAUACACUUGAAAGAAUGAUUAAAGAGCAUGCCAAGAGCAGAGUCAGUCUGUCGGAUAACAUGUGGUAUCAAUUGUUGGCACAAGUUUAGAUCAGUCUGUACUUUGUAGGCUCAUUUGUACGGCAAUGAAUAAUACUUGCACCCUUCGUUCAAAUCUUCUGUAAUUUCAGUGUAACCAAAACAAUCCGCAAUCUGUUUUCUUGUAGUCUGUUGGUGUGUUUGCUUGGUGCGGGAUGGUUUGAUUUUUUUUUCCAGAAUUGGUUUUCCAUUCUGUGUACAUUACAUGACUACACGAGGCAUGUCAGCCUUUCACAUCAAACUUGGUUGUGUGUGUUACUUU
This is an RNA transcript of Panicum virgatum (switchgrass), 2299 nucleotides long. It is a transcript of the gene named CCR4-NOT transcription complex subunit 11-like, with no coding region annotated. The transcript has 13 exons. The record is from RefSeq and is a predicted model, not a curated record. NCBI's taxonomy places the organism in Eukaryota, Viridiplantae, Streptophyta, Magnoliopsida, Poales, Poaceae.